GCUCAGAGAGGGGUCAAUGUCCUAUCAGCUAGUUGGUAGGGUAAAGGCCUACCAAGGCGAAGACGGGUAGCCGGCCUGAGAGGGUGGUCGGCCACAUUGGGACUGAGACACUGCCCAGACUCCUACGGGAGGCUGCAGUCGAGAAUCUUUCGCAAUGCCCGGAAGGGUGACGAAGCGACGCCGCGUGUGGGAAGAAGGCCUUCGGGUUGUAAACCACUGUCGGGAGUUAAGAAGUGUAAGGGGGUGAAUAGUCUCCUUACUUGACGUUAGCUCCGGAGGAAGCCACGGCUAACUCUGUGCCAGCAGCCGCGGUAAUACAGAGGUGGCAAGCGUUGUUCGGAAUUAUUGGGCGUAAAGAGCACGUAGGCGGCCCUGCAAGUCAGCUGUGAAAUCCUUCUGCUCAACGGAAGAACGGCAGUUGAUACUAUGGGGCUCGAGUGCGGGAGGG
Molecule: ribosomal RNA, 448 nt
Filed under: uncultured Planctomycetota bacterium
Lineage: Bacteria; Pseudomonadati; Planctomycetota
Description: bacterial SSU rRNA
Rfam family: Bacterial small subunit ribosomal RNA
Source: RNAcentral